GACGAACGCUGGCGGCGUGCUUAACACAUGCAAGUCGAACGCUGAAGCUCAGCUUUUGUUGGGUGGAUGAUUGGCGCACGGGUGAGUAACACGUGAGUAACCUGCCCCCUUCUUUGGGAUAACGCCCGGAAACGGGUGCUAAUACUGGAUAUUCACUGGUCUUCGCAUGGGGGCUGGUGGAAAGGGUUUUUCUGGUGGGGGAUGGGCUCGCGGCCUAUCAGCUUGUUGGUGGGGUGAUGGCCUACCAAGGCUUUGGCGGGUAGCCGGACUGAGAGGGUGACCGGUAACAUUGGGACGGAGAUACGGCCCAGACGCCUACGGGAGGCAGAAGUGGGGAAUAUUGGACAAUGGGCGAAAGACUGAUGCAGCGACGCCGCGUGAGGGCUGGAGGCCUUCGGGUUGUGAACCUCUUUCGCUCAUGAUGAAGCCGCAACAAUGGUCGUCGUGAGGGUAGUGGGUAAAGAAGCGCCGGCUAACUACGUG
Molecule: ribosomal RNA, 483 nt
Filed under: uncultured bacterium
Lineage: Bacteria
Description: partial 16S ribosomal RNA
Rfam family: Bacterial small subunit ribosomal RNA
Source: RNAcentral